UACGUAGGGGGCAAGCGUUGUCCGGAUUUAUUGGGCGUAAAGAGCGUGUAGGCGGUCAGGUAGGUCCGUUGUGAAAACUCGAGGCUCAACCUCGAGACGCCGAUGGAAACCAUCUGACUAGAGUCCGGAAGAGGAGAGUGGAAUUCCUGGUGUAGCGGUGAAAUGCGCAGAUAUCAGGAGGAACACCAAUUGCGAAGGCAGCUCGCUGGGACGUUACUGACGCUGAGACGCGAAAGCGUGGGGAGCAAACAGG
RNAcentral lists this ribosomal RNA (253 nucleotides) under uncultured bacterium. Its description in RNAcentral is "partial 16S ribosomal RNA". It matches the Rfam family "Bacterial small subunit ribosomal RNA", at positions 524 to 776 of the family's 1533-position model. The record is from RNAcentral.